UUUAAUAUGACUGACAGAUGUUAUGCUUUUGUGGUAGUUAUGGAUGAGCCACUUUAUUUUCUCAGAUGGUAAAACUGUCCAUUCUUCUUGUCAAAACCCCUUCAGUUCCUUUUAGAUUUUGGGUUUCUUUGCAUGAACUGCAUGUUUGAGACCCUACCCCCCCAAAGUGGCUCCAUGAUAUUGAGGUCAGC
Molecule: long non-coding RNA, 191 nt
Organism: Sphaeramia orbicularis (orbiculate cardinalfish)
Lineage: Eukaryota; Metazoa; Chordata; Actinopteri; Kurtiformes; Apogonidae
Exons: 5
Source: RefSeq, a predicted model, not a curated record